UACGAAGGGGGCGAGCGUUAUUCGGAAUUACUGGGCGCAAAGAGCGCGUAGGUGGUUUGUUAAGUUAGAAGUGAAAGCCCAAGGCUCAAACUUGGAACUGCUUUUAAAACUAGCAAGCUAGAGAGUGAUAGAAGAUAGUGGAAUUCCUAGUGUAGAGGUGAAAUUCUUAGAUAUUAGGAGGAACACCGGUGGCGAAAGCGGCUAUCUAGGUCACAUCUGACACUGAGGCGCGAAAGCGUGGGGAGCAAACAGG
Molecule: ribosomal RNA, 253 nt
Filed under: uncultured bacterium
Lineage: Bacteria
Description: partial 16S ribosomal RNA
Rfam family: Bacterial small subunit ribosomal RNA
Source: RNAcentral